CCUACGGGUGGCUGCAGUGGGGAAUAUUGGACAAUGGGGGGAACCCUGAUCCAGCCAUGCCGCGUGUGUGAAGAAGGCCCUCGGGUUGUAAAGCACUUUCAGUGAGGAAGAACGCCUGGUGGUUAAUACCCAUCAGGAAAGACAUCACUCACAGAAGAAGCACCGGCUAACUCCGUGCCAGCAGCCGCGGUAAUACGGAGGGUGCGAGCGUGAAUCGGAAUUACUGGGCGUAAAGCGCGCGUAGGUGGCUUGAUAAGCCGGUUGUGAAAGCCCCGGGCUCAACCUGGGAACGGCAUCCGGAACUGUCCAGCUAGAGUGCAGGAGAGGAAGGUAGAAUUCCCGGUGUAGCGGUGAAAUGCGUAGAGAUCGGGAGGAAUACCAGUGGCGAAGGCGGCCUUCUGGACUGACACUGACACUGAGGUGCGAAAGCGUGGGUAGCAAACAGGAUUAGAUACCCGUGUAGUC
This 465-nucleotide ribosomal RNA is filed under the name Vreelandella stevensii. RNAcentral's name for it is "partial 16S ribosomal RNA". It matches the Rfam family "Bacterial small subunit ribosomal RNA", at positions 338 to 795 of the family's 1533-position model. The record is from RNAcentral. Lineage: Bacteria; Pseudomonadati; Pseudomonadota; Gammaproteobacteria; Oceanospirillales; Halomonadaceae.